RNAcentral lists this long non-coding RNA (282 nucleotides) under Homo sapiens (human). RNAcentral describes it as "HSALNT0343941". The record is from RNAcentral. Lineage: Eukaryota; Metazoa; Chordata; Mammalia; Primates; Hominidae.
AGUGACUCAAAUGUGAUGGGACCACCUUAUAGAGAGCCACACCAGGGUGCCAUAGCACACUGAUUGAGAACCAUGCCGCUGCUUCUGCUGGGAUGCCCUCCAAAUUAUUGGGUGCAGACAUCAGAAUUGUGCCUGUAUCCUCCUGGUGGUAUGUGCUCCUCAGAGGCCUGAUCUACAUAUGUUCACCUCCUAGGGACAAAAACAACCUAAGAGGCCAGGAAGUUUAUUCCUAUGAAAUGUUGCUUCUCCAAAGGCCAUCUCAACUCGAUUACACAUUUUCCA